CCUACGGGAGGCAGCAGUGAGGAAUAUUGGUCAAUGGGCGAGAGUCUGAACCAGCCAAGUAGCGUGAAGGAUGACUGCACAAUGGGUUGUAAACUUCUUUUAUAUGGGAAUAAAAUGUUCCACGUGUGGGAUGUUGUAUGUACCAUAUGAAUAAGGAUCGGCUAACUCCGUGCCAGCAGCCGCGGUAAUACGGAGGAUUCGAGCGUUAUCCGGAUUUAUUGGGUUUAAAGGGAGCGUAGGUGGAUUGUUAAGUCAGUUGUGAAAGUUUGCGGCUCAACCGUAAAAUUGCAGUUGAAACUGGCAGUCUGGAGUACAGUAGAGGUAGGCGGAAUUCGUGGUGUAGCGGUGAAAUGCUUAGAUAUCACGAAGAACUCCGAUUGCGAAGGCAGCUCACUGGACUGCAACUGACACUGAGGCUCGAAAGUGUGGGUAUCAAACAGGAUUAGAUACCCCGGUAGUC
Molecule: ribosomal RNA, 460 nt
Filed under: uncultured bacterium
Lineage: Bacteria
Description: partial 16S ribosomal RNA
Rfam family: Bacterial small subunit ribosomal RNA
Source: RNAcentral